GGAGAUUUAGCUCAGUGGUAGAGCGCUUGCCUAGCAAGCUCAAGACCCUGGGUUCGGUCCCCAGCUCCA
This 69-nucleotide transfer RNA is filed under the name Rattus norvegicus (Norway rat). It matches the Rfam family "tRNA". From Rfam's summary of the family: Transfer RNA (tRNA) molecules are approximately 80 nucleotides in length. Their secondary structure includes four short double-helical elements and three loops (D, anti-codon, and T loops). Lineage: Eukaryota; Metazoa; Chordata; Mammalia; Rodentia; Muridae. The record is from Rfam by way of RNAcentral.